Molecule: ribosomal RNA, 253 nt
Filed under: uncultured bacterium
Lineage: Bacteria
Description: partial 16S ribosomal RNA
Rfam family: Bacterial small subunit ribosomal RNA
Source: RNAcentral
UACGUAGGGGGCGAGCGUUAUCCGGAUUUACUGGGCGUAAAGCGCGUUAAGGCGGUUGGCCAAGUUGGUGGUGAAAUCUCAGGGCUCAACCCUGAAACUGCCUCCAAUACUGGUCAGCUAGAGUGCGAGAGAGGAAGGUGGAAUUCCCGGUGUAGUAGUGAAAUGCGUAGAUAUCGGGAGGAACACCAGUGGCGAAGGCGGCCUUCUGGCUCGUAACUGACGCUGUAGCGCGAAAGCGUGGGGAGCGAACGGG